CCUACGGGAGGCAGCAGUGAGGAAUAUUGGUCAAUGGCCGUAAGGCUGAACCAGCCAAGUAGCGUGAGGGAAGACUGCCCUAUGGGUUGUAAACCUCUUUUAUGCGGGGAUAAAGGUGUCCACGUGUGGAUGUUUGCAGGUACCGCAUGAAUAAGGACCGGCUAAUUCCGUGCCAGCAGCCGCGGUAAUACGGAAGGUCCGGGCGUUAUCCGGAUUUAUUGGGUUUAAAGGGAGCGUAGGCCGGACUUUAAGCGUGCCGUGAAAUUUUGUGGCUCAACCCUGAGCGUGCGGCGCGAACUGGAGGCCUUGAGUGCGCGGAAGGCAGGCGGAAUUCGUGGUGUAGCGGUGAAAUGCUUAGAUAUCACGAAGAACCCCGAUUGCGAAGGCAGCCUGCCGCAGCGUUACUGACGCUGAAGCUCGAAAGCGCGGGUAUCGAACAGGAUUAGAUACCCGAGUAGUC
This 460-nucleotide ribosomal RNA is filed under the name uncultured bacterium. RNAcentral's name for it is "partial 16S ribosomal RNA". It matches the Rfam family "Bacterial small subunit ribosomal RNA", at positions 338 to 795 of the family's 1533-position model. The record is from RNAcentral.